AAAUUGAAGAGUUUGAUCAUGGCUCAGAUUGAACGCUGGCGGCAGGCCUAACACAUGCAAGUCGAGCGGUAGCACAGAGAGCUUGCUCUCGGGUGACGAGCGGCGGACGGGUGAGUAAUGUCUGGGAAACUGCCUGAUGGAGGGGGAUAACUACUGGAAACGGUAGCUAAUACCGCAUAACGUCGCAAGACCAAAGAGGGGGACCUUCGGGCCUCUUGCCAUCAGAUGUGCCCAGAUGGGAUUAGCUAGUAGGUGGGGUAACGGCUCACCUAGGCGACGAUCCCUAGCUGGUCUGAGAGGAUGACCAGCCACACUGGAACUGAGACACGGUCCAGACUCCUACGGGAGGCAGCAGUGGGGAAUAUUGCACAAUGGGCGCAAGCCUGAUGCAGCCAUGCCGCGUGUAUGAAGAAGGCCUUCGGGUUGUAAAGUACUUUCAGCGGGGAGGAAGGUGUUGUGGUUAAUAACCACAGCAAUUGACGUUACCCGCAGAAGAAGCACCGGCUAACUCCGUGCCAGCAGCCGCGGUAAUACGGAGGGUGCAAGCGUUAAUCGGAAUUACUGGGCGUAAAGCGCACGCAGGCGGUCUGUCAAGUC
RNAcentral lists this ribosomal RNA (597 nucleotides) under Enterobacter asburiae. RNAcentral describes it as "bacterial SSU rRNA". It matches the Rfam family "Bacterial small subunit ribosomal RNA", at positions 1 to 589 of the family's 1533-position model. Lineage: Bacteria; Pseudomonadati; Pseudomonadota; Gammaproteobacteria; Enterobacterales; Enterobacteriaceae. The record is from RNAcentral.